AGAAUCGUUUGAUCAUAAUCAAGAGUUAAGAUAUCCUACUGCGUGUAACUGCCACCUUUUUGUGCUUAGCACUAGCUAAUUGCCUCAUUUUAAUUACAACCGAUCUUCAAAAUGAUAAUCAUACUUUCAAAAAGUUAACCAUAAAAUAUUGCAUUGGUAAGCGAGAAAAAGUGUUUAAAAAAUCUCUCUAAAUCUUAAAAAAUCUCUCUAACGAUAUGUUUUCAAGGUGUAUAUUGGUGGAAAAAAAAAUCGAAAAUCAAUUUAAAGGUGUAUAUUCAAAUGGGUUAUGAUCAUCGUCCGUGCAGUUUCAAUUGCAGGAAGUCCAGUGACCAUCACAACCAUUCAAUCCAUCUUUUCCUCUCUCUCCUGCUUAAACCAAAUGUUGUGAUUUAUUUGAAUAUUAACUUUGCAGGAGACAAUUUGCUCCCCCAUUUAAUAAUAUGUAUUUUAAUAUGUAUAUAUUUGUCUCGCUUGCAUAAUGCAGAUUUUCGUGUCUAUUGACCCAAUCAUCAUUUUGGUCGGAUUGUUUAGGCCCAUACUUACAAAGAGUUAUAUUAUUUAAGGUUCUUCAACAUGCUUUGAAAAUUUUAGGACUUUAAAGCAUAUCGAAGGACAUAAAGAGAACUCGUCAUAACAUUUUAUUUUAUUUUUACUAAAAGCGCUAUAGUAUAGCAUUAUACAUUUAUAAUGAACGUUAAUAUAUACCUAAUCAUUAACAAAAAUAAUUUUAUAAAAUUGUAAUACUCUUUUAUUUAUUGUUUUUUUUAAUUUGUGU
RNAcentral lists this long non-coding RNA (775 nucleotides) under Trifolium pratense (red clover). Its description in RNAcentral is "long non-coding RNA (TPRA_LNC006017)". The record is from RNAcentral. Lineage: Eukaryota; Viridiplantae; Streptophyta; Magnoliopsida; Fabales; Fabaceae.